Small nuclear RNA from Eptesicus fuscus (big brown bat), 112 nucleotides. The record is from RefSeq and is a predicted model, not a curated record. Lineage: Eukaryota; Metazoa; Chordata; Mammalia; Chiroptera; Vespertilionidae.
GUGCUUGCUUCCGCAGCACACAUACUAAAAUUGGGAUGAUAGAGCUUAGCAAGGCCCCUUCGAAAGGAUGACACGCAAAUUCAUGAAGGCUUAUGAACCAGAUAAAAUUAUA